RNAcentral lists this long non-coding RNA (505 nucleotides) under Setaria viridis. RNAcentral's name for it is "long non-coding RNA (SVIR_LNC000747)". Lineage: Eukaryota; Viridiplantae; Streptophyta; Magnoliopsida; Poales; Poaceae. The record is from RNAcentral.
GACUUGUCGCCACAGUUACAACGAAUCAAUCUUAGUUUCUCAAAGGAAAACUAGAACUAAACAAAACCUGAGUUUCUAAGGCGAUGGCUACUGAGUUUAUAUCAAAAGGGCCGAACUAGGGUUGGGGGUGACCCGGAAGGGGGUGCCCACAACUUGGGCUUAAGGCACGACACGAUACAAGGCCAAGUUGGCCCAAAAUUAGUGAUGCAGCACCUUGUCGUGGUCACACAGAAUGAUCCAUGAAUCUUCUGGAGCUAGGACUAGAACCAAAAGAACAACGGUGUCAUCCCCGUUCCAACACAUCAAAGAACACCUCGUUUCAAUGUCGUAUGAGGGAGAUAUAGCUGAAACCGUGCAGGGGUGUCGGCUGAAUCCGAACUGAACGCAAUGACCGAGUUGGUGACAACUUGUAACUUGGGAAAGACCAUGACUCAUGUGUGUCCAGCAUGGCGAUGUCCUCAUCAUCCUUCCCUUCUUGAAUUGGAGUCGUCCUCGACUCCAUCCC